CCCCGCGACUUGGACCCUGCCCGGGCAGAAGGCUCUGCAACCAAGCUCUGCUGAAAUCUUUUGGUGCUAUUUUGCUGGAGAAGGAAGAACAAGCAGCUCCAGGAAGGAAUCAAAGUAGCUGUUGACAGAUUCAAAGCUGCCCCGGAUGUGCCGAAGGCCCCAGUCUGAAUAGGACUCCUCUGCGUCCGGGCUGGAGUCGCUCUGAGCCAGGCCACCCCCCAGGCUGAGCCACAAAACCAUGAAGCCGGUGGCCACCUUCAUCCUGCAGCCAGCUUAACAGGCUGACGGUUUUGAAGCUGUAAAAAUGUCCAAAUCAAGGCAUCAUCGAGACAGUGCUUUCUUCCCAAAGACCAGCUGCCGACGAUCCUUGACUCCUCUGCCACACGGU
Choloepus didactylus (southern two-toed sloth) is the source of this 388-nucleotide long non-coding RNA. RefSeq lists it as uncharacterized. Lineage: Eukaryota; Metazoa; Chordata; Mammalia; Pilosa; Megalonychidae. The transcript has 3 exons. The record is from RefSeq and is a predicted model, not a curated record.